GGGAUUGCCCUAGUAACGGCGAGUGAAGCGGCAACAGCUCAAAUUUGAAAUCUGGCCCCAGGCCCGAGUUGUAAUUUGCAGAGGAUGCUUUUGGCAAAGCGCUUACCGAGUCCCCUGGAACGGGGCGCCACAGAGGGUGAGAGCCCCGUAUGGUAUGACGCCGAGCCUCUGUAAAGCUCCUUCGACGAGUCGAGUAGUUUGGGAAUGCUGCUCUAAAUGGGAGGUAAAUUUCUUCUAAAGCUAAAUACCGGCCAGAGACCGAUAGCGCACAAGUAGAGUGAUCGAAAGAUGAAAAGCACUUUGAAAAGAGGGUUAAAUAGCACGUGAAAUUGUUGAAAGGGAAGCGCUCGUGACCAGACUUGCGCCGGGCGGAUCAUCCAGCGUUCUCGCUGGUGCACUCCGCCCGGCUCAGGCCAGCAUCGGUUUUCGCCGGGGGACAAAAGCUUCGGGAACGUGGCUCCCUUCGGGGAGUGUUAUAGCCCGUCGUUUAAUACCCCGGCGGGGACCGAGGACCGCGCUUCGGCAAGGAUGCUGGCGUAAUGGUCAUCAGCGACCCGUCUUGAAACACGGACCGAGGAGUCAAGCAUUAGUGCGAGUGUUUGGGUGUAAAACCCGCACGCGUAAUGAAAGUGAACGUAGGUGAGAGCUUCGGCGCAUCAUCGACCGAUCCUGAUGUUUUCGGAUGGAUUUGAGUAGGAGCAUUAACGCUUGGACCCGAAAGAUGGUGAACUAUACUUGAAUAGGGUGAAGCCAGAGGAAACUCUGGUGGAGGCUCGCAGCGGUUCUGACGUGCAAAUCGAUCGUCAAAUUUG
This 812-nucleotide ribosomal RNA is filed under the name Gaeumannomyces setariicola. RNAcentral describes it as "partial large subunit ribosomal RNA". It matches the Rfam family "Eukaryotic large subunit ribosomal RNA", at positions 71 to 913 of the family's 3401-position model. The record is from RNAcentral. Lineage: Eukaryota; Fungi; Ascomycota; Sordariomycetes; Magnaporthales; Magnaporthaceae.